GCGCCUAUAGUUCAACUGGAUAGAAUUCAGCCCUCCGAAGGCUGAGGUUGCAGGUUCAAGUCCUGCUAGGCGCGCCA
RNAcentral lists this transfer RNA (77 nucleotides) under hydrothermal vent metagenome. RNAcentral describes it as "tRNA-Arg-CCG". It matches the Rfam family "tRNA". Rfam says of the family: Transfer RNA (tRNA) molecules are approximately 80 nucleotides in length. Their secondary structure includes four short double-helical elements and three loops (D, anti-codon, and T loops). Further hydrogen bonds mediate the characteristic L-shaped molecular structure. tRNAs have two regions of fundamental functional importance: the anti-codon, which is responsible for specific mRNA codon recognition, and the 3' end, to which the tRNAs corresponding amino acid is attached (by aminoacyl-tRNA synthetases). tRNAs cope with the degeneracy of the genetic code in two manners: having more than one tRNA (with a specific anti-codon) for a particular amino acid; and 'wobble' base-pairing, i.e. permitting non-standard base-pairing at the 3rd anti-codon position. The record is from RNAcentral.